AGAGUUUGAUCAUGGCUCAGAAUCAACGCUGGCGGCGCGCUUAACACAUGCAAGUCGCACGAGAAAGGGGAGCAAUCCCUGAGUACAGUGGCGUACGGGUGAGUAACACGUGGAUGAUCUACCUUCUAGUGGGGAAUAACCCUGGGAAACCGGGGCUAAUACCGCAUAAGCUCGUGAGAGGAAAGCAGCAAUGCGCUGGAAGAGGAGUCCGCGGCUGAUUAGCUAGUUGGCGGGGUAACGGCCCACCAAGGCGAAGAUCGGUAGCCGGCCUGAGAGGGCACACGGCCACACUGGCACUGAAACACGGGCCAGACUCCUACGGGAGGCAGCAGUGGGGAAUCUUGCACAAUGGAGGAAACUCUGAUGCAACGACGCCGCGUGAGCGAUGAAGCCCUUCGGGGUGUAAAGCUCUUUCGAUGGGAACGAUAAUGACGGUACCCGGAGAAGAAGCUGCGGCUAACUACGUGCCAGCAGCCGCGGUAAUACGUAGGCAGCGAGCGUUGUUCGGAAUUAUUGGGCGUAAAGAGUGUGUAGGCGGUGUUCUAAGUCUGGUGUGAAAUCUCCCGGCUCAACUGGGAGGGUGCGCCGGAUACUGGGAUGCUAGAGGGUGGGAGAGGAAAGCGGAAUUCCUGGUGUAGCGGUGAAAUGCGUAGAUAUCAGGAGGAACACCCGUGGUGUAGACAGCUUUCUGGACCACUUCUGACGCUGAGACACGAAAGCGUGGGUAGCAAACAGGAUUAGAUACCCUAGUAGUCC
RNAcentral lists this ribosomal RNA (756 nucleotides) under uncultured bacterium. RNAcentral's name for it is "bacterial SSU rRNA". It matches the Rfam family "Bacterial small subunit ribosomal RNA", at positions 8 to 796 of the family's 1533-position model. The record is from RNAcentral.